UACGAAGGGGGCUAGCGUUGCUCGGAAUCACUGGGCGUAAAGGGUGCGUAGGCGGGUUUUUAAGUCAGGGGUGAAAUCCUGGAGCUCAACUCCAGAACUGCCUUUGAUACUGAGGAUCUUGAGUUCGGGAGAGGUGAGUGGAACUGCGAGUGUAGAGGUGAAAUUCGUAGAUAUUCGCAAGAACACCGGUGGCGAAGGCGGCUCUCUGGACCGGUACUGACGCUGAUCUGCGAAAGCUAGGGGAGCAAACGGG
Molecule: ribosomal RNA, 253 nt
Filed under: uncultured bacterium
Lineage: Bacteria
Description: partial 16S ribosomal RNA
Rfam family: Bacterial small subunit ribosomal RNA
Source: RNAcentral